RNAcentral lists this ribosomal RNA (305 nucleotides) under uncultured bacterium. RNAcentral's name for it is "bacterial SSU rRNA". It matches the Rfam family "Bacterial small subunit ribosomal RNA", at positions 338 to 660 of the family's 1533-position model. The record is from RNAcentral.
CCUACGGGGGGCAGCAGUGGGGGAUAUUGCACAAUGGGGGAAACCCUGAUGCAGCGACGCCGCGUGUGGGAAGACGGUCCUCUGGAUUGUAAACCAUUGUCCCCAGGGACGAAGAUGGCGGUACCUGGGGAGGAAGCUCCGGCUAACUACGUGCCAGCAGCCGCGGUAAUACGUAGGGAGCGAGCGUUGUCCGGAAUUACUGGGUGUAAAGGGAGCGUAGGCGGGACUGCAAGUUGGGUGUCAAAUCUACCGGCUCAACCGGUAGCCGCACUCAAAACUGUAGUUCUUGUGUGAAGUAGAGCCAG